AUUUAUAUGAACCAGAAUAAUAUUUUUAUUUAUCAUGGGUGGCAUUGGCAAUCGCAAUUCCCAAGCAAAGCCAAUAAUAACCAAUAAGAAUCGUAAGACCAUCCUUAUUGAUGAGUUCUUAGUAGAAUUCUUAACAUUUUGGAUAGACAAA
This 151-nucleotide small RNA is filed under the name Arabidopsis thaliana (thale cress). Its description in RNAcentral is "ATSL150850". The record is from RNAcentral. Lineage: Eukaryota; Viridiplantae; Streptophyta; Magnoliopsida; Brassicales; Brassicaceae.